GACGAACGCUGGCGGCGUGCUUAACACAUGCAAGUCGAACGGAAAGGCCCCUUCGGGGGUACUCGAGUGGCGAACGGGUGAGUAACGCGUGAGUAACCUGCCCUUGACUUCGGGAUAACUUCAGGAAACUGGGGCUAAUACCGGAUAGGAAUCCUUGCUGCAUGGUGGGGGUUGGAAAGCUUCGGCGGUUUUGGAUGGACUCGCGGCUUAUCAGCUUGUUGGUGGGGUAGUGGCUUACCAAGGCUUUGACGGGUAGCCGGCCUGAGAGGGCGACCGGCCACAUUGGGACUGAGAUACGGCCCAGACUCCUACGGGAGGCAGCAGUGGGGAAUAUUGCACAAUGGGCGGAAGCCUGAUGCAGCAACGCCGCGUGCGGGAUGACGGCCUUCGGGUUGUAAACCGCUUUCAGCAGGGGCGAAGCUUGUGGUGACGGUACCUGCAGAAGAAGCACCGGCUAACUACGUG
Molecule: ribosomal RNA, 465 nt
Filed under: uncultured bacterium
Lineage: Bacteria
Description: partial 16S ribosomal RNA
Rfam family: Bacterial small subunit ribosomal RNA
Source: RNAcentral